GAACGAGACCUUCGGGUCUAGUGGCGCACGGGUGCGUAACGCGUGGGAAUCUGCCCUUGGGUUCGGAAUAACAGUUAGAAAUGACUGCUAAUACCGGAUGAUGACGUAAGUCCAAAGAUUUAUCGCCCAAGGAUGAGCCCGCGUAGGAUUAGCUUGUUGGUGAGGUAAAAGCUCACCAAGGCGACGAUCCUUAGCUGGUCUGAGGGGAUGAUCAGCCACACUGGGACUGAGACACGGCCCAGACUCCUACGGGAGGCAGCAGUGGGGAAUAUUGGACAAUGGGCGAAAGCCUGAUCCAGCAAUGCCGCGUGAGUGAUGAAGGCCUUAGGGUUGUAAAGCUCUUUUACCCGGGAUGAUAAUGACAGUACCGGGAGAAUAAGCUCCGGCUAACUCCGUG
Molecule: ribosomal RNA, 397 nt
Filed under: uncultured bacterium
Lineage: Bacteria
Description: bacterial SSU rRNA
Rfam family: Bacterial small subunit ribosomal RNA
Source: RNAcentral